AGUGAACGCUGGCGGUAGGCCUAACACAUGCCAGUCGAACGGCAGCACAGUAAGAGCUUGCUCUUACGGGUGGCGAGUGGCGGACGGGUGAGGAAUACAUCGGAAUCUACUUUUUCGUGGGGGAUAACGUAGGGAAACUUACGCUAAUACCGCAUACGACCUACGGGUGAAAGCAGGGGAUCUUCGGACCUUGCGCGAUUGAAUGAGCCGAUGUCGGAUUAGCUAGUUGGCGGGGUAAAGGCCCACCAAGGCGACGAUCCGUAGCUGGUCUGAGAGGAUGAUCAGCCACACUGGAACGGAGACACGGUCCAGACUCCUACGGGAGGCAGCAGUGGGGAAUAUUGGUCAAUGGGCGCAAGCCUGAUCCAGCCAUACCGCGUGGGUGAAGAAGGCCUUCGGGUUGUAAAGCCCUUUUGUUGGGAAAGAAAAGCAGCAGGUUAAUACCCCGCUGUUCUGACGGUACCCAAAGAAUAAGCACCGGCUAACUUCGUG
This 492-nucleotide ribosomal RNA is filed under the name uncultured bacterium. Its description in RNAcentral is "partial 16S ribosomal RNA". It matches the Rfam family "Bacterial small subunit ribosomal RNA", at positions 29 to 507 of the family's 1533-position model. The record is from RNAcentral.